CCGGUGAAGUGUUCGGAUUGCGGCGACGUGGGCGGUUCGCUGCCCGCGACGUUGUGAGAAGUCCACUGAACCUUAUCAUUUAGAGGAAGGAGAWGUCGUAACAAGGUUUCCGUAGGUGAACCUGCGGAAGGAUCAUUG
RNAcentral lists this ribosomal RNA (138 nucleotides) under Astragalus echinatus. Its description in RNAcentral is "partial 18S ribosomal RNA". It matches the Rfam family "Eukaryotic small subunit ribosomal RNA". Lineage: Eukaryota; Viridiplantae; Streptophyta; Magnoliopsida; Fabales; Fabaceae. The record is from RNAcentral.